GCACGUUCUGCAAACCUGCAAGUUUACAAUUCGAAAUGCAAGCUUACCGUGAGAAAAGAGGAAAAGGUAACGACGGUCACGUUUGAUUAAUUGCGAUUAUGGAACGGUCCACCUCCACCUUAGAACUCUAGCCGGCAGACUCUCACGGCAAAACAAAAUGUGGAGGAAAAAGUUCCGCGGAAGAAAUCAGAACUUUUGUUAUUCGGCUCGGCUGGACCAGAUGGCGAGCCACUUCGGUGACACGGGACUGCAAUUCGGGACGGUAUUUAUAGCGGUAAAGAAAGCACGAACAGAAAGGAGCCCGGUUUAAUUGACCAGAUCGACGCACAGCCUCAGAUCUGUAUAUAAAUUUCGACGAAAACAAUAACGCGAAGCUCAAAAGAAGAAGAACAAACAGGGGAUUGUUUUACGACGGAAAUGCAAGACUUUAACCAAUUAAAAAGAUUCGUUCAAUCAAUUUUUUCGUAGUAUAAUUACAUUCUCGGCAAAAGUGAACAAUUGUUUUCGGAAUAUGUCAUCUGAUAAUUGCAUUA
Molecule: long non-coding RNA, 533 nt
Filed under: Neodiprion pinetum (white pine sawfly)
Lineage: Eukaryota; Metazoa; Arthropoda; Insecta; Hymenoptera; Diprionidae
Description: uncharacterized LOC124222419, transcript variant X2
Source: RNAcentral